Molecule: long non-coding RNA, 390 nt
Filed under: Anas platyrhynchos (mallard)
Lineage: Eukaryota; Metazoa; Chordata; Aves; Anseriformes; Anatidae
Description: lncRNA (ENSAPLG00020016876.1)
Source: RNAcentral
UCGUAUGAUAAAUUGAAAGGCACUAUUAUCUGCCUGUUGUGAAGAGGAACUGCUUAGGCUUUGAUAAGAUAUCACCAGUCCCAGGUGAGAGGAGGCUGACAGCACAUCAAGACAAGAAAACACAUGGAAGCAGUGAACAUGGGAGCAAAAGUGUUCAAAGGUAGAAGGGAUCUUCAUGAGGAACAGGAGUGCAGAGGAAGACAGGACUUUUCGCACAAGAUCAGGAAAAAAAAAAAAGUUUCAUGUAUAGAGUGGGAGAGAAGAAGCUGAAAAACAGGCAAAGAGGGAAGGGAAGCAUUUGGAUGCCACAGGGCAACAGCAGGUUGCAGAAAAAUGAAGAGCAAGGCUGUGGAAAAGCAUCUGAUCCCGACCAGCUCCACACUAACCUGC